CCUACGUGAGGCAGCAGUGAGGAAUAUUGGUCAAUGGGCGCGAGCCUGAACCAGCCAAGUAGCGUGAAGGAUGACUGCCCUACGGGUUGUAAACUUCUUUUAUAAAGGAAUAAAGUGAGGCACGUGUGCCUUUUUGUAUGUACUUUAUGAAUAAGGAUCGGCUAACUCCGUGCCAGCAGCCGCGGUAAUACGGAGGAUCCGAGCGUUAUCCGGAUUUAUUGGGUUUAAAGGGAGCGUAGAUUGGUUGUUAAGUCAGUUGUGAAAGUUUGCGGCUCAACCGUAAAAUUGCAAUUGAUACUGGCAGUCUUGAGUACAGUUGAGGUAGGCGGAAUUCGUGGUGUAGCGGUGAAAUGCUUAGAUAUCACGAAGAACUCCGAUUGCGAAGGCAGCUUACUAAACUGCCACUGACAUUGAUGCUCGAAAGUGUGGGUAUCAAACAGGAUUAGAUACCCUUGUAGUC
Molecule: ribosomal RNA, 460 nt
Filed under: uncultured bacterium
Lineage: Bacteria
Description: partial 16S ribosomal RNA
Rfam family: Bacterial small subunit ribosomal RNA
Source: RNAcentral